GACGAACGCUGGCGGCGUGCUUAACACAUGCAGGUCGAACGGAAAGGCCCUGCUUUUGUGGGGUGCUCGAGUGGCGAACGGGUGAGUAACACGUGAGUAACCUGCCCGUGACUUUGGGAUAACUUCAGGAAACUGGGGCUAAUACCGGAUAGGAGCUCCUGCUGCAUGGUGGGGGUUGGAAAGUUUCGGCGGUUGGGGAUGGACUCGCGGCUUAUCAGCUUGUUGGUGGGGUAGUGGCUUACCAAGGCUUUGACGGGUAGCCGGCCUGAGAGGGUGACCGGCCACAUUGGGACUGAGAUACGGCCCAGACUCCUACGGGAGGCAGUAGUGGGGAAUAUUGCACAAUGGGCGGAAGCCUGAUGCAGCAACGCCGCGUGCGGGAUGACGGCCUUCGGGUUGUAAACCGCUUUCGCCUGUGACGAAGCGUGAGUGACGGUAAUGGGUAAAGAAGCACCGGCUAACUACGUG
RNAcentral lists this ribosomal RNA (468 nucleotides) under uncultured bacterium. RNAcentral's name for it is "partial 16S ribosomal RNA". It matches the Rfam family "Bacterial small subunit ribosomal RNA", at positions 28 to 507 of the family's 1533-position model. The record is from RNAcentral.